GAGGGGGUGACUAGUGACAGAGUGAGGGAGGGAAUGGGUGACUAGUGACAGAGUGAGGAAGGGGGUGACUAGUGACAGAGCGAAGGAGGUGGUGACUGUCACUAGUCACCCCAUCCAUCCCUCUGUCACUAAUCACAACCUCCCUCACUCUGUCACUAGUCACAACCUCCCUCACUCUGUCACUAGUCACCCCCUCCCUCUCUCUGUCACUAGUCACACCCUCCCUC
Molecule: non-coding RNA, 227 nt
Organism: Pelobates cultripes (western spadefoot toad)
Lineage: Eukaryota; Metazoa; Chordata; Amphibia; Anura; Pelobatidae
Source: the annotation of a GenBank genome assembly